UUUUAAAGUUUUUUAGUUUCA
This is a non-coding RNA of Caenorhabditis elegans, 21 nucleotides long. Lineage: Eukaryota; Metazoa; Nematoda; Chromadorea; Rhabditida; Rhabditidae. The record is from Ensembl.